AUCAGCCUACGGGAGGCAGCAGUGGGGAAUAUUGGGCAAUGGGCGCAAGCCUGACCCAGCAACGCCGCGUGAAGGAAGAAGGCUUUCGGGUUGUAAACUUCUUUCCUCAGGGACGAAGCAAGUGACGGUACCUGAGGAAUAGGCCACGGCUAACUACGUGCCAGCAGCCGCGGUAAUACGUAGGUGGCAAGCGUUAUCCGGAUUUACUGGGUGUAAAGGGCGUGUAGGCGGGAAAGCAAGUC
RNAcentral lists this ribosomal RNA (242 nucleotides) under uncultured bacterium. Its description in RNAcentral is "partial 16S ribosomal RNA". It matches the Rfam family "Bacterial small subunit ribosomal RNA", at positions 333 to 589 of the family's 1533-position model. The record is from RNAcentral.